Molecule: ribosomal RNA, 406 nt
Filed under: uncultured bacterium
Lineage: Bacteria
Description: bacterial SSU rRNA
Rfam family: Bacterial small subunit ribosomal RNA
Source: RNAcentral
UGGGGAAUAUUGGGCAAUGGGCGAAAGCCUGACCCAGCAACGCCGCGUGAAGGAAGAAGGCCUUCGGGUUGUAAACUUCUUUUACCAGGGAAGAAGACGUGACGGUACCUGGAGAAAAAGCCACGGCUAACUACGUGCCAGCAGCCGCGGUAAUACGUAGGUGGCAAGCGUUGUCCGGAUUUACUGGGUGUAAAGGGCGUGUAGGCGGGAAGACAGGUCAGAUGUGAAAUCCCGGGGCUCAACCCCGGAACGGCAUUUGAAACCGUUUUUCUUGAGUAUCGGAGAGGCAGGCGGAAUUCCUAGUGUAGCGGUGAAAUGCGUAGAUAUUAGGAGGAACACCAGUGGCGAAGGCGGCCUGCUGGACGACAACUGACGCUGAGGCGCGAAAGCGUGGGGAGCAAACAGG